UAGGACUCUCGGCAAUGGAUAUCUUGGCUCUCGCAUCGAUGAAGAGCGCAGCGAAAUGCGAUACGUGGUGCGAAUUGCAGAAUCCCGUGAACCAUCGAGUUUUUGAACGCAAGUUGCGCCCGAGGCCUGCUGGCCAAGGGCACGUCCGCCUGGGCGUCAAGC
RNAcentral lists this ribosomal RNA (162 nucleotides) under Habenaria petitiana. RNAcentral describes it as "5.8S ribosomal RNA". It matches the Rfam family "5.8S ribosomal RNA". From Rfam's summary of the family: 5.8S ribosomal RNA (5.8S rRNA) is a component of the large subunit of the eukaryotic ribosome. The record is from RNAcentral. Lineage: Eukaryota; Viridiplantae; Streptophyta; Magnoliopsida; Asparagales; Orchidaceae.